Haliotis rubra (blacklip abalone) is the source of this 870-nucleotide long non-coding RNA. RefSeq lists it as uncharacterized. NCBI's taxonomy places the organism in Eukaryota, Metazoa, Mollusca, Gastropoda, Lepetellida, Haliotidae. The transcript has 3 exons. The record is from RefSeq and is a predicted model, not a curated record.
GGGAGUAUGCUGGCUGGGCACACUAGGUGCUGUUUGCUGCUGAUCUGAAGCACUUUAAAGACGUCAGCAAGACUGAGGUAAAGAAAAUAUCAUUAAGUCCACCAAAAAGAGCAGCACAGGCAAGAACCAACAACACAUCAGCUAAACGGUCGAAGAAAAAAUGACUUCGGACUUCCCGAUUCACCUCUUGCUGGCGAUGAAAGACCUUCCCCGGCUUCAAGAAGUCCAUCUGUUAGAGAUCAUUUCAGCCCUGUGCAUCUUCACAGAGGAGCCACCUCAAUACCUGGAGCUGUACUUCCCAUCGAUCGUAUGAGGUUGAAUACUCCUCUCUUUCAACUCUGCUGCCUCACUUACAAUCACACCGUACUUAUAACUGUGAGUUCGAUUCCCCACAUGGGUACAAUGUGUGAAGCCCAUUUCUGGUGUUCCCCGCUGUGAUAUUGCUCGAAAUUGGAAUAAGCGGCGUAUUACUAAACUCACUCACUCACUAUAACUAUGAAAUAGCAGUUAUCCAAGGGAUGUAACUCUCCAUUGACUUAUGUGGACCUGCACAGCAUGUUCAAAUAUAGCAGUUAUGUGAUGUGAGAAACAUGGCUGGAAUCUGGUGCAUCAGAACAGGAUGAUUAUUGUCAUCAUCUGAUUGUUGGGAUGUGAAGGAGCCAAAUCCAGGGGAGGUAACUCUCCAAGGACUUAAUUAGAUGUCAUGGAGGCUGAUGUUCAUUUAAUAACCAAAUCAACUUUGGCACAGAUGAAGAUAGAUUUUUUAAUGCUAUCUUCUCUUUGUAUAGGGAGUCAUAGUGAUACAGUGCACAGGUCUCAUCUUCCACAAGCCUACCACCAAUGAAAUGACCUAAAUCUCUGUAUAUCUGA